CAGACACAUUCUCUGUAGCUCUUACCAAAGAGCUGCAUGCCCACCACGGCAAAAAUGAAGACAAUGAUGGCCAACACCAAGCACUUUUAGAGCUCAGUUUGGAUGUUUCAGAAGAACUCUCUGAGAGGCCCGUAAUUCUGCUUCUCCCAAUACUUGUAUAUUCAGCAACUGCUGCUGCUAUUGCCUAUUGAGCCAAGACGUUACACAUACAUGAGUCAUUUCAAAAAUCUGGAAAGCCCUAUGAUGAAGCACAUCUUGCCCACCAAUGUAACAACACUGUACGUAUGAUCAUGCCCCUUCAAAAUGAAAUGAUACUUUUCUCUGCAUUAUGAUCAGAAUGCUUACCAUACGUAUGUUUGCUUCCUUUCCCACAUUGUAAUAAAGCAGCACUGUGCUUUGGAAUUAAACUAUUACAUGUUACUAUUUGUUUAAAAUAAAGAAAAUUUAAAUAUUA
Carlito syrichta (Philippine tarsier) is the source of this 454-nucleotide long non-coding RNA. RefSeq lists it as uncharacterized. The record is from RefSeq and is a predicted model, not a curated record. NCBI's taxonomy places the organism in Eukaryota, Metazoa, Chordata, Mammalia, Primates, Tarsiidae. The transcript has 2 exons.